UAAGAGUUUGAUCCUGGCUCAGAACGAACGCUGGCGGCGUGCUUAACACAUGCAAGUCGUACGAGCUCUUUGGAGCUAGUGGCGGACGGGUGAGUAAAGCAUAGAUAACCUACCUAUAAGAUUGGGAUAACCGAGCGAAAGCUUGGCUAAUACCGAAUAAUGUUACUGAAUUAGGUUUCAGUAAAGAAAGGGGAAACCUGCUUAUAGAUGGGUCUAUGUCUGAUUAGCUAGUUGGUGAGGUAAAGGCUCACCAAGGCGACGAUCAGUAGCUGGUCUGAGAGGACGGACAGCCACACUGGGACUGAGACACGGCCCAGACUUCUACGGAAGGCAGCAGUGGGGAAUAUUCCGCAAUGGGCGAAAGCCUGACGGAGCGACGCCGCGUGGGUGAGGAAGUCCUUCGGGAUGUAAAGCCCUGUCAGAGGGGAAGAAGGAAGUGACGGUACCCUCAGAGGAAGCAUCGGCUAACUACGUGCCAGCAGCCGCGGUAAUACGUAGGAUGCUAGCGUUGUUCGGAAUUACUGGGCGUAAAGAGUACGUAGGCGGUUAUAUAAGCGUGAUAUAAAAGACCGGGGCUUAACUUCGGGGAUGUAUCACGAACUGUAUAACUAGAGGCUAAUAGGGGAUGCUGGAAUUACCAGUGUAGCGGUGAAAUGCGUAGAUAUUGGUAAGAACACCUGUGGCGAAAGCGAGCAUCUGGGUUAGUACUGACGCUGAGGUACGAAAGCAUGGGGAGCAAACAGGAUUAGAUACCCUGGUAGUCCAUGCUGUAAACGAUGGAUACUAGACAUAGCAACUAGAUUGCUGUGUCGAAGCAAACGCGAUAAGUAUCCCGCCUGGGGAGUAUGGCCGCAAGGUUGAAACUCAAAGGAAUUGACGGGGACCCGCACAAGCGGUGGAGGAUGUGGUUUAAUUCGACGCAACGCGAAGAACCUUACCAAGGCUUGACAUCCAUAGAAUCCUGUGGAAACAUAGGAGUGCCCGAAAGGGAGCUAUGAGACAGGUGGUGCAUGGCUGUCGUCAGCUCGUGUCGUGAGAUGUUGGGUUAAGUCCCGCAACGAGCGCAACCCUCAGCAUUAGUUGCCAUCAUUAAGUUGGGCACUUUAAUGCGACUGCCUGUGAUAAGCAGGAGGAAGGUGGGGAUGACGUCAAGUCAUCAUGCCCCUUACGUCUUGGGCUACACACGUCCUACAAUGGUGCAGACAAACAGGAGCGAGCUAGUGAUAGUGAGCGAAUCUGAUAAACUGCAUCUCAGUUCGGAUUGUAGGCUGCAACUCGCCUACAUGAAGUCGGAAUCGCUAGUAACCGUAGAUCAGCAUGCUACGGUGAAUACGUUCCCGGGUCUUGUACACACCGCCCGUCACACCACGAAAGUUUGUAAUACCCGAAGCCGGUGAGCUAACCUGAAAAGGGGGCAGCCGUCUAAGGUAGUGCAAAUGAUUGGGGUGAAGUCGUAACAAGGUAGCCGUACUGGAAGGUGCGGCUGGAUCACCUCCUUU
Molecule: ribosomal RNA, 1499 nt
Filed under: Candidatus Woesearchaeota archaeon
Lineage: Archaea; Nanobdellati; Candidatus Woesearchaeota
Description: bacterial SSU rRNA
Rfam family: Bacterial small subunit ribosomal RNA
Source: RNAcentral